Molecule: ribosomal RNA, 1164 nt
Filed under: Nosema sp.
Lineage: Eukaryota; Fungi; Microsporidia; Nosematidae
Description: bacterial SSU rRNA
Rfam family: Microsporidia small subunit ribosomal RNA
Source: RNAcentral
GUAGACGCUAUACUCUAAGAUUAACCCAUGCAUGUUUAUUGAAUAUAAAGAAAAGACGAACAGCUGAGUAACUCUUAUUUGAUUUGAUGUAUUAGGAUUCUAACUAUGUUAAAUUAUAGGUAACAAUAAUACAGUAAGAAUAAGAUCUAUCAGUUAGUUGUUAAGGUAAUGGCUUAACAAGACUAUGACGGAUAACGGUAUUACUUUGUAAUAUUCCGGAGAAGGAGCCUGAGAGAUUGCUACUAAGUCUAAGGAUUGCAGCAGGGGCGAAACUUGACCUAUGAUAUUAUAUUGAGGCAGUUAUGAGUAGUAUUUUAUAAUUAUUGUAGUAUUGUAAGUACAUAUUACAAGAUAAAUCGGAGGGCAAAUCGAGUGCCAGCAGCCGCGGUAAUACUUGUUCCGAUAGUGUGUAUGAUGAUUGAUGCAGUUAAAAAGUCUGUAGUUUAUUUAUAAUAAGCAUUGUAAGGUAUACUGUAUGGUUAGGAGAGAGAUGAAAUGUGAUAACCCUAACUGGAUGAACAGAAGCGAAAGCUGUAUACUUAAAUGUAUUAUUAGAACAAGGACGUAAGCUAGAGGAUCGAAGAUGAUUAGAUACCAUUGUAGUUCUAGCAGUAAACUAUGUUAAAUCAUAGAUAUAUUUUGAUAUAUAUUUAUGUAGAGAAAUUAAGAUUAUAUUGACUCUGGGGAUAGUAUGAUCGCAAGAUUGAAAAUUAAAGAAAUUGACGGAAGAAUACCACAAGGAGUGGAUUGUGCGGCUUAAUUUGACUCAACGCGGGGUAAUUUACCAGGUAUAACAUGGUAUAAUAUUUUAUCAUGAUAGUGGUGCAUGGCCGUUUCCAAUGGAUGCUGUGAAGUAAUGAUUAAUUUCAACAAGAUGUGAGACCCUCAUUUAGACAGAUGUAGUGAUACAUAUGAAGGAGAGGAUUAAAACAGGUCCGUUAUGCCCUAAGAUAAUCUGGGUUGCACGCGCAAUACAAUAAUAUUUGAUAUUAUAAGGGAUAAUAUAAUGUAAGAUAUAUUUGAACAUGGAAUUGCUAGUAAAUUUUAUUUAAUAAGUAGAAUUGAAUGAGUCCCUGUUCUUUGUACACACCGCCCGUCGCUAUCUAAGAUGGUAUUAUCUAUGAACAAAUUUAUAAAGUGAAUAGAUAGUACUAGAUCUGAUAU